Molecule: ribosomal RNA, 205 nt
Filed under: uncultured bacterium
Lineage: Bacteria
Description: partial 16S ribosomal RNA
Rfam family: Bacterial small subunit ribosomal RNA
Source: RNAcentral
CGUCUAGGCGGCAAUGCAAGUCAUGCGUGAAAGCUCCUGGCUCAACUAGGAGAGUGCGUGUGAAACUGCAUGGCUAGAGUCUUGGAGGGGUGCGUGGAAUUCCCGGUGAGUGAUGGAAUGCGUUGAGAUCGGGAGGAACACCAGAAGCGAAGGCGGCGCACUGGCCAAGAACUGACGCUGAAGCGCGACAGCGUGGGGAGCAAAC